AUUGAACGCUGGCGGCAUGCCUUACACAUGCAAGUCGAACGGCAGCACGGGUGCUUGCACCUGGUGGCGAGUGGCGAACGGGUGAGUAAUAUAUCGGAACGUACCUUAUUGUGGGGGAUAACGCAGCGAAAGCUGUGCUAAUACCGCAUAAUCCCUAAGGGGGAAAGCGGGGGACCGUAAGGCCUCGCGCAAUUAGCGCGGCCGAUACCUGAUUAGCUAGUUGGUGAGGUAAAGGCUCACCAAGGCAACGAUCAGUAGCUGGCCUGAGAGGACGAUCAGCCACACUGGGACUGAGACACGGCCCAGACUCCUACGGGAGGCAGCAGUGGGGAAUUUUGGACAAUGGGGGCAACCCUGAUCCAGCAAUGCCGCGUGAGUGAAGAAGGCCUUCGGGUCGUAAAGCUCUUUUGUCAGGGAAGAAACAGCAGCUCUAACACAGUAUGCGAAUGACGGUACCUGAAGAAUAAGCACCGGCUAACUACGUGCCAGCAGCCGCGGUAA
This 501-nucleotide ribosomal RNA is filed under the name uncultured bacterium. RNAcentral describes it as "partial 16S ribosomal RNA". It matches the Rfam family "Bacterial small subunit ribosomal RNA", at positions 30 to 523 of the family's 1533-position model. The record is from RNAcentral.